UACGUAGGGGGCAAGCGUUGUCCGGAAUCAUUGGGCGUAAAGAGCGUGUAGGCGGCUCGGUAAGUCCGCUCUGAAAGCCCGGGGCUCAACCCCGGGAGGCGGGCGGAUACUGUCGGGCUAGAGUCCGGAAGAGGCGAGUGGAAUUCCUGGUGUAGCGGUGGAAUGCGCAGAUAUCAGGAGGAACACCGGUGGCGAAGGCGCCACUCUGGGCCGGUACUGACGCUGAGGAGCGAAAGCGUGGGUAGCAAACAGG
This 253-nucleotide ribosomal RNA is filed under the name uncultured bacterium. RNAcentral describes it as "partial 16S ribosomal RNA". It matches the Rfam family "Bacterial small subunit ribosomal RNA", at positions 524 to 776 of the family's 1533-position model. The record is from RNAcentral.